Long non-coding RNA from Prionailurus viverrinus (fishing cat), 150 nucleotides. RefSeq lists it as uncharacterized. Lineage: Eukaryota; Metazoa; Chordata; Mammalia; Carnivora; Felidae. The record is from RefSeq and is a predicted model, not a curated record. The transcript has 4 exons.
CCAGCAACUUCAAGACAUCAGAGUCAGAUGUGUACAAGAGACAGAUGUCAUUCCAGGCCCCAGAGUCAGGGAGGCUCCAUCCACAGGGUGAGGGCUUGGAGAGGUGGCCGUGAUGUCUUCAGAGAUGCUGCCCUGCAGCAGCCAAAGAUG